CAUGUAGGCGGAUUGAUAAGUCUGGAGUGAAAGUCCUCUUUUCAAGGGAGGAAUUGCUUUGGAAACUAUAGAGCUUGAGUGCAGGAGAGGUUAUCGGAAUUCCCGGUGUAGCGGUGAAAUGCGUAGAUAUAUGGAAGAACACCAGUGGCGAAGGCGGCUGUCUGGUCUGUAACUGACGCUGAGGCUCGAAAGCAUGGGUAGCAAACA
RNAcentral lists this ribosomal RNA (207 nucleotides) under uncultured bacterium. Its description in RNAcentral is "partial 16S ribosomal RNA". It matches the Rfam family "Bacterial small subunit ribosomal RNA", at positions 568 to 774 of the family's 1533-position model. The record is from RNAcentral.